GCCCACAUAGCUCAGUCGGCAGAGCACUUCCUUGGUAAGGAAGAGGUCAUCGGUUCGAGUCCGAUUGUGGGCUCCA
RNAcentral lists this transfer RNA (76 nucleotides) under bacterium. Its description in RNAcentral is "tRNA-Thr". It matches the Rfam family "tRNA". Rfam says of the family: Transfer RNA (tRNA) molecules are approximately 80 nucleotides in length. Their secondary structure includes four short double-helical elements and three loops (D, anti-codon, and T loops). Further hydrogen bonds mediate the characteristic L-shaped molecular structure. tRNAs have two regions of fundamental functional importance: the anti-codon, which is responsible for specific mRNA codon recognition, and the 3' end, to which the tRNAs corresponding amino acid is attached (by aminoacyl-tRNA synthetases). tRNAs cope with the degeneracy of the genetic code in two manners: having more than one tRNA (with a specific anti-codon) for a particular amino acid; and 'wobble' base-pairing, i.e. permitting non-standard base-pairing at the 3rd anti-codon position. RNAcentral also lists the same sequence under 7 other names. The record is from RNAcentral.